UAUGGAACCUGCCUUGUACAGGGGAAUAGCCCAGGGAAACUUGGAUUAAUGCCCCGUAGUACCGUAUUUCGGCAUCGUUAUACGGUUAAAGCCUUCGGGCGGUACAAGAUGGCCAUGCGUCCCAUUAGCUUGUUGGUAAGGUAACGGCUUACCAUGGCUACGAUGGGUAGGGGCCCUGAGAGGGGGAUCCCCCACACUGGUACUGAGACACGGACCAGACUCCUACGGGAGGCAGCAGUGAGGAAUAUUGGACAAUGGAGGAGACUCUGAUCCAGCCAUGCCGCGUGCAGGAAGAAUGCCCUAUGGGUAGUAAACUGCUUUUAUACGGGAAGAAAAAGAGCUACGUGUAGCUUACUGACGGUACCGUAAGAAUAAGGACCGGCUAACUCCGUGCCAGCAGCCGCGGUAAUACGGAGGGUCCGAGCGUUAUCCGGAAUUAUUGGGUUUAAAGGGUCCGUAGGCGGGCCGAUAAGUCAGGGGUGAAAGUCUGCCGCUCAACGGUAGAACUGCCUUUGAUACUGUCGGUCUUGAGUUAUAGUGAAGUUGCCGGAAUAUGUAGUGUAGCGGUGAAAUGCAUAGAUAUUACAUAGAACACCGAUUGCGAAGGCAGGUGACUAACUAUAUACUGACG
Molecule: ribosomal RNA, 631 nt
Filed under: Maribacter dokdonensis
Lineage: Bacteria; Pseudomonadati; Bacteroidota; Flavobacteriia; Flavobacteriales; Flavobacteriaceae
Description: bacterial SSU rRNA
Rfam family: Bacterial small subunit ribosomal RNA
Source: RNAcentral